This 344-nucleotide ribosomal RNA is filed under the name uncultured bacterium. RNAcentral's name for it is "bacterial SSU rRNA". It matches the Rfam family "Bacterial small subunit ribosomal RNA", at positions 1 to 334 of the family's 1533-position model. The record is from RNAcentral.
ACAGAUCGUUCAGAGUUUGAUCCUGGCUCAGGACGAACGCUGGCGGCGUGCCUAACACAUGCAAGUCGAGCGGAGACAUUAAGGAGCUUGCUCCGAGAUGUUUUAGCGGCGGACGGGUGAGUAACGCGUGAGCAACCUUUCUCUCAGUGGGGAAUAACACACCGAAAGGUGUACUAAUACCGCAUGAGACCACGGUAUCGCAUGAUACAGAGGUCAAAGAUUUAUCGCUGAGAGGUGGGCUCGCGUCCGAUUAGAUAGUUGGUGAGGUAACGGCUCACCAAGUCGACGAUCGGUAGCCGACCUGAGAGGGUGAUCGGCCACAUUGGGACUGAGACACGGCCCAA